UCGGUAAUUCCAGCUCCAAUAGCGUAUAUUAAAGUUGUUGCAGUUAAAAAGCUCGUAGUUGGAUUUGUGGCAGUGCUCGAGUGCCUUUUUUGGACGCUCUGAGCACAGCCAUCCUUGGGAGGAAUUCGUGUGGCAUUAGGUUGUUGCAUGGGGGAUACUCAACUUUUACUGUGAAAAAAUCAGCGCGUUCAAAGCAAGCUUAUGCUCUUGAAUGUAUUAGCAUGGAAUAAUAAGAUAGGACUUUAGUACUAUUUUGUUGGUUUGCGUAUUAAGGUAAUGAUUAAUAGGGAUAGUUGGGGGUAUUCGUAUUCCAUUGUCAGAGGUGAAAUUCUUGGAUUUUUGGAAGACGAACUACUGCGAAAGCAUUUACCAAGGAUGUUUUCAUUAAUCAAGAACGAAAGUUAGGGGAUCGAAGAUGAUUAGAUACCAUCGUAGUCUUAACCAUAAACUAUGCCGACAAGGGAUUGGUGGGGUUUCGUAAUGUCUCCAUCAGCACCUUAGGAGAAAUCAUAAGUCUUUGGGUUCCGGGGGGAGUAUGGUCGCAAGGCUGAAACUUAAAGAAAUUGACGGA
This 571-nucleotide ribosomal RNA is filed under the name Gomphonema parvulum. Its description in RNAcentral is "SSU rRNA". It matches the Rfam family "Eukaryotic small subunit ribosomal RNA", at positions 576 to 1160 of the family's 1831-position model. The record is from RNAcentral. Lineage: Eukaryota; Bacillariophyta; Bacillariophyceae; Cymbellales; Gomphonemataceae.